AACAAACUGCUAAACAUUUUUUCUUGGCUCUGAAGAUGGUAAUGCAUGUAGCCGCAGGGUCUGGGUGGGUCUCCACCUGUCUUUCUUUUCACAAUCCCUCAAGGGGAACGCACACAAUUCUCUCAGGCUCAGGAGCAUCAGCCACCUU
Sinocyclocheilus rhinocerous is the source of this 148-nucleotide long non-coding RNA. RefSeq lists it as uncharacterized. NCBI's taxonomy places the organism in Eukaryota, Metazoa, Chordata, Actinopteri, Cypriniformes, Cyprinidae. The record is from RefSeq and is a predicted model, not a curated record. The transcript has 3 exons.